GAUGAAGAACGUAGCGAAAUGCGAUAAGUAAUGUGAAUUGCAGAAUUCAGUGAAUCAUCGAAUCUUUGAACGCACAUUGCGCCCCCUGGUAUUCCGGGGGGCAUGCCUGUUCGAGCGUCAUUUCAACCCUCAAGCUCUGCUUGGUAUUGAGUCCAUGUCAGCAAUGGCAGGCUCCAAAAUCAGUGGCGGCGCCGCUGGGUCCUGAUCGUAGUAAUAUCUCUCGUUACAGGUGCUCGGCGUGCUUCUGCCAAAACCCCAAUUUUUCUAUGGUUGACCUCGGAUCAGGUAGGGAUACCCGCUGAACUUAAGCAUAUCAAUAAGCGGAGGA
RNAcentral lists this unclassified non-coding RNA (328 nucleotides) under soil metagenome. Its description in RNAcentral is "partial contains 5.8S ribosomal RNA, internal transcribed spacer 2, and large subunit ribosomal RNA". The stretch from base 1 to 120 matches the Rfam family "5.8S ribosomal RNA", at positions 35 to 154 of the family's 154-position model. The record is from RNAcentral.